AGAAGGGGGACACGUUUGGUUUUGGAAUACGUGGUGAAUGGGAAUCAGAAUACAAUGCUGGCUCCUCCUGCAGGCUCUUUGUCACUCACAAUGGGACGGAGGUCAAGUAUGAAGGAAAUCCAGAGGACUUGAUGUUCAACAGGUUCUACUACCCUUGUCUUGCCAUCAAUAGCCACUGUACUUGUCAGUUCAAAUUGCCACAUCUUCUCUCUCCACCAGUGGACUUGAUGAACGCCUAUAAAAAGGAACAAAGAUGGAUCCGCCACUGUUAUACUGAUUUUUGUGUGAUCAAUAACAAUGGAAU
Long non-coding RNA from Saccostrea cuccullata (small rock oyster), 304 nucleotides. RefSeq lists it as uncharacterized. The transcript has 3 exons. The record is from RefSeq and is a predicted model, not a curated record. NCBI's taxonomy places the organism in Eukaryota, Metazoa, Mollusca, Bivalvia, Ostreida, Ostreidae.